Molecule: regulatory RNA element, 21 nt
Rfam family: Pseudoknot of upstream pseudoknot domain (UPD) of the 3'UTR
Source: Rfam
CGUGGUGCAUACGAAAAUGCA